GUUUUGAUAGUUUAAAUAAGAAUACAGCUUUGAAGCUGCUGUGGUGGUUUUAUUCCUCAAAAUA
RNAcentral lists this transfer RNA (64 nucleotides) under Paratapes undulatus (undulate venus clam). RNAcentral's name for it is "tRNA-Phe". Lineage: Eukaryota; Metazoa; Mollusca; Bivalvia; Venerida; Veneridae. The record is from RNAcentral.